AGUGAACGCUGGCGGUAGGCCUAACACAUGCAAGUCGAACGGCAGCACAGUAAGAGCUUGCUCUUACGGGUGGCGAGUGGCGGACGGGUGAGGAAUACAUCGGAAUCUACUUUUUCGUGGGGGAUAACGUAGGGAAACUUACGCUAAUACCGCAUACGACCUACGGGUGAAAGCAGGGGAUCUUCGGACCUUGCGCGAUUGAAUGAGCCGAUGUCGGAUUAGCUAGUUGGCAGGGUAAAGGCCCACCAAGGCGACGAUCCGUAGCUGGUCUGAGAGGAUGAUCAGCCACACUGGAACUGAGACACGGUCCAGACUCCUACGGGAGGCAGCAGUAGGGAAUAUUGGACAAUGGGCGCAAGCCUGAUCCAGCCAUACCGCGUGGGUGAAGAAGGCCUUCGGGUUGUAAAGCCCUUUUGUUGGGAAAGAAAAGCAGCAGGUUAAUACCCCGCUGUUCUGACGGUACCCAAAGAAUAAGCACCGGCUAACUUCGUG
This 492-nucleotide ribosomal RNA is filed under the name uncultured bacterium. Its description in RNAcentral is "partial 16S ribosomal RNA". It matches the Rfam family "Bacterial small subunit ribosomal RNA", at positions 29 to 507 of the family's 1533-position model. The record is from RNAcentral.